GUUACCUUCAGUUCUACUUUUGUCUUGUUUCAAAGGCCUUAAAAGAACUGCUCAAUUACUUAUCCGAAGCACCUGGGUUACCUUACAAUUUGCGUGCUGUUGUUUAAAAAUAUUUUGUUUAUUAUUGUAUUAAUUUGUGUGUUUUGUAUUUUUCAUAGUUGCAUUUAGUGUGCCAAAAAAUAUGAAAACUAGGGUGUGUGAUAAAGGGUAUGCGAUAAAGGGUAGGGGUGUGAUAAAGGGUAUGCGAUAAAGGGUGCGCAUCAAAGUUGCGCGAUAUGGAUUAAACAGCAGGCUAUUUAUCACAUAUGCAAAACUACUGUAUUUACUACUAAACAUAUGAUAAAUAUAUAUAUAUAUAUU
This 360-nucleotide long non-coding RNA is filed under the name Mytilus galloprovincialis (Mediterranean mussel). The record is from RNAcentral. Lineage: Eukaryota; Metazoa; Mollusca; Bivalvia; Mytilida; Mytilidae.